Non-coding RNA from Caerostris darwini, 112 nucleotides. The record is from the annotation of a GenBank genome assembly. Lineage: Eukaryota; Metazoa; Arthropoda; Arachnida; Araneae; Araneidae.
AACGGCCGUACCAUGCUGAAUAUACCGGUUCUCGUUAGAUCACCGAAGUCAAGCAUCAUUGGGCGCAGUCAGUACUUGGGUGGGUGACCACCUGGGAACACCGCGUGCCGUU